GACCAUCUAGGUCGUUUCGAAUUUGAAGUUUUGAUUAUUUUAACUCUAUUUGGAGAUUUGUAUUUUGUACUUUAUUAAUGGAUCACCACUAUUAAUAUUUUGAGGUUGUUAAUGCUUUGUUUAUUUAUUUUGAGGUUUAUUGUGCUUUGAACGUGACCUCCCUUUCCUUUUCGAGAAGGGGGUGUUACAGAGAUGGUAUCAAAGCUUAGGUUAUUUAUUGUAGAAAACCUAUUUAGGUUUAACCUGUGAGUUGUGGGUAAAUCACUGGGUAGACGUAGGAGUUUGAUUCGAUUUUAUUCUCUGUUUGGUUAGUCUUGAUUUUGACCAAGUGUUUUUAGCUCUUUGAGUUGUAGUUGAUUUGAAAAAGGUGAGAUAAUUUGUUAAGAUUAUCAUUGUUAUGCGUUGGAGCAAUGAUAUUAGUUAAUAAUUGUGAUUGACUCAUUGAGGUGAAUAAAGUUAUACUUUGUACAGAUAAGAAAUGAUCUUAUAUGGGAUGCGAUUAUGAUGUGAAUAUUUGUAUCGACGAGUAUUUGAUUUUAGAAAAUUAUUUGUUAUAGUUAUUUUUUUUGUGACAAUUAUUAUGAUUUUGGAAUUGAGGAUUUGAUUUGGGUUAUAUUCUGAUUUUUGUUAAGUUGUGAAUAAUUUGAGGUAUGUGAAUCGGUGGGAUAAUAUGAUUAAAUGAAAACUAUUAAGUACAAAGGAUCUCUUGUAAUUUUGUGUUGUUGUAGAGAUUCGAGGUAAUUAGAUUAAUCUUUUGAAGUAAAUGAAUUUUGCGAUUAUUUCCUAGUAGAAUAUUGGAAUUAUCUUAUAUGAAAUUUUGAGUAAUAGUAUGAGGAGAUCUUGGAAUUUAUUGGGUUAAGAUUUGCAUUAAGAGAAUGAUUGAUUCAUUGAAUGAUUAGAUAUAUAAUAAGUGAUGAAUCUUUAAGAGAUUUUGAAAGCUAUAGUUUGCUUAUUCAGAUAGUAGAAUAUAUGAUUUGGAGUUUGGUAUGAUGAUGAAGAGAUCUUAGUAGUAAUAUAUUUUUG
This 1023-nucleotide long non-coding RNA is filed under the name Panax ginseng (ginseng). RNAcentral describes it as "long non-coding RNA (PGIN_LNC009014)". Lineage: Eukaryota; Viridiplantae; Streptophyta; Magnoliopsida; Apiales; Araliaceae. The record is from RNAcentral.